GCGUUACCCGGAUUUACUGGGCGUAAAGGGCGUGUAGGCGGCCUGGGGCGUCCGAUGUGAAAGGCCACGGCUCAACCGUGGAGGAGCGUGGGAUACGCUCAGGCUAGAGGGUGGGAGAGGGUGGUGGAAUUCCCGGAGUAGCGGUGAAAUGCGCAGAUACCGGGAAGAACGCCGAUGGCGAAGGCAGCUACCUGGUCCACUUCUGACGCUGAGGCGCGAAAGCGUG
RNAcentral lists this ribosomal RNA (226 nucleotides) under uncultured bacterium. RNAcentral's name for it is "partial 16S ribosomal RNA". It matches the Rfam family "Bacterial small subunit ribosomal RNA", at positions 538 to 763 of the family's 1533-position model. The record is from RNAcentral.